RNAcentral lists this ribosomal RNA (498 nucleotides) under uncultured bacterium. Its description in RNAcentral is "bacterial SSU rRNA". It matches the Rfam family "Bacterial small subunit ribosomal RNA", at positions 28 to 524 of the family's 1533-position model. The record is from RNAcentral.
GAUGAACGCUAGCGGCAGGCUUAAUACAUGCAAGUCGAGGGGCAGCACGGUUAGCAAUAACUGGUGGCGACCGGCGCACGGGUGCGUAACACGUAUACAAUCUACCUUAAACAGGGGAUAGCCUUUCGAAAGAGAGAUUAAUACCCCGUAAUAAAUUGAACGGCAUCGUUUGAUUUUGAAAGCUCCGGCGGUUUGAGAUGAGUAUGCGUCUGAUUAGCUAGUUGGUGAGGUAACGGCUCACCAAGGCGACGAUCGGUAGGGGAUCUGAGAGGACUAACCCCCACACUGGUACUGAGACACGGACCAGACUCCUACGGGAGGCAGCAGUAAGGAAUAUUGGUCAAUGGAGGCAACUCUGAACCAGCCAUGCCGCGUGCAGGAUGACGGCCCUAUGGGUUGUAAACUGCUUUUAUACAAGAGAAAACCCUGGUACGUGUACCAGGUUGAUAGUAUUGUAAGAUAAGCAUCGGCUAACUUCGUGCCAGCAGCCGCGGUAAU